ACAUUGUGCUUGCACAGAUGACGACCGGCGCACGGGUGCGUAACGCGUAUGCAAUCUACCUUUUACAGNAGGAUAGCCNUUAGAAAUUUGGAUUAAUACNUCAUAGUAUAUAAGNAUGGCAUCAUUUUUAUAUUAAAGAUUUAUCGGUAAAAGAUGAGCAUGCGUUCUAUUAGUUAGUUGGUAAGGUAACGGCUUACCAAGACNGCGAUAGAUAGGGGUCCUGAGAGGGAGAUCCCCCACACUGGUACUGAGACACGGACCAGACUCCUACGGGAGGCAGCAGUGAGGAAUAUUGGACAAUGGGCGAGAGCCUGAUCCAGCCAUGCCGCGUGCAGGAAGACUGCCCUAUGGGUUGUAAACUGCUUUUAUACAGGAAGAAACACUCCCUCGUGAGGGAGCUUGACGGUACUGUAAGAAUAAGGAUCGGCUAACUCCGUGCCAGCAGCCGCGGUAAUACGGAGGAUCCAAGCGUUAUCCGGAAUCAUUGGGUUUAAAGGGGUCCGUAGGUGGACNAUUAAAUC
This 521-nucleotide ribosomal RNA is filed under the name Formosa algae. RNAcentral's name for it is "bacterial SSU rRNA". It matches the Rfam family "Bacterial small subunit ribosomal RNA", at positions 71 to 589 of the family's 1533-position model. Lineage: Bacteria; Pseudomonadati; Bacteroidota; Flavobacteriia; Flavobacteriales; Flavobacteriaceae. The record is from RNAcentral.